AUUGAACGCUGGCGGCAUGCCUUACACAUGCAAGUCGAACGGCAGCACGGGUGCUUGCACCUGGUGGCGAGUGGCGAACGGGUGAGUAAUACAUCGGAACGUACCUUAUCGUGGGGGAUAACGCAGCGAAAGCUGUGCUAAUACCGCAUACGCCCUGAGGGGGAAAGCGGGGGAUCGCAAGACCUCGCGCGAUUAGAGCGGCCGAUGCCUGAUUAGCUUGUUGGUGGGGUAAAAGCCCACCAAGGCGACGAUCAGUAGCUGGUCUGAGAGGACGGUCAGCCAAACGGGUGCUGGGACACGGCCCAGACUCCUACGGGAGGCAGCAGUGGGGAAUUUUGGACAAUGGGGGCAACCCUGAUCCAGCAAUGCCGCGUGAGUGAAGAAGGCCUUCGGGUUGUAAAGCUCUUUUGUCAGGGAAGAAACACCGGCUUUAACACAGUCCGGGAAUGACGGUACCUGAAGAAUAAGCACCGGCUAACUACGUGCCAGCCGCCGCCGUAA
RNAcentral lists this ribosomal RNA (501 nucleotides) under uncultured bacterium. RNAcentral's name for it is "partial 16S ribosomal RNA". It matches the Rfam family "Bacterial small subunit ribosomal RNA", at positions 29 to 523 of the family's 1533-position model. The record is from RNAcentral.